GGGCUUACCAACAUACGCCCACCCACACCAUUAGAUGCAUGUUCGCGCACACAACAUCGAAUUCAGAGCAUCAUAAUGAUCUCAUCCAUCUACUUGAUCAAGAGGAUGGGGAUUUAAUUUUGGUUAGUCAGCUUUGAGAGGUGGAAUGUGCCCCUCCCUUGUACCAUUUUGACUGCUGGACAUUCCUGCAAAGAAGAAUGAAGAAAAACAGCAUAAGGC
This 219-nucleotide long non-coding RNA is filed under the name Elaeis guineensis (African oil palm). RNAcentral describes it as "long non-coding RNA (EGUI_LNC017545)". Lineage: Eukaryota; Viridiplantae; Streptophyta; Magnoliopsida; Arecales; Arecaceae. The record is from RNAcentral.